Mesocricetus auratus (golden hamster) is the source of this 929-nucleotide long non-coding RNA. RefSeq lists it as uncharacterized. The record is from RefSeq and is a predicted model, not a curated record. NCBI's taxonomy places the organism in Eukaryota, Metazoa, Chordata, Mammalia, Rodentia, Cricetidae. The transcript is spliced from 6 exons.
CCGUUUCAAUCUGCACUUUAAGGAGUAAACAAGCAAAAACACUUUUAUUUAAUUUGCACUUAAGAGAGAAAACAAGCAGAACUGAAGAGAAAACAGAGCCUGCCUGGAGAGCUCCCUGAACAAAUAAAGACAAAGAAACACAGGCAGACGGGGCUCAGGAAGCCAUCUGAGCAGCAGGAAGCAGAAGCUUAUCUUUCUUUUCAGGACUCCUGGACUACCUUCUCAGGAGUGAUAUUGAUCAUAGUCUCUUAGGCUCUCUGACAUCAUUCAAGACAAUUCCCCACAGACAUGGCCAUAGGUUGGUCUGAUCUGAACAGUUCUUCAACUGAAAUUUCCUCUUCCAGGCUUCUGUCAGGUGUGGUUCCAAUGGAUGGCCUUUUUAUGACCUUUAUACCAAGUUGGAGGAUGAACUACAAGAGAAAAAGACUGUCUAUGACCCCCUCCUCAUGGAUUAUGAAGGAAGCAAUAUCAUAUCAGCCAGCAAUUCCAAUACAAAUUUGAUACAGAAGUGAACCCCAGGAGAGUGCUCCAAGCUUCAGCUUGUCUGAGAACUAAGGACUGAGCCUAGGGCUUUUGACAUGCUCCCAAAGCACUCUACCAGGACUUAUCUCCCAAGUCUAAAUUCUUCUUUAAACAUGAUAGAAUGCCAGCGCUGGAUUAGAAACAAAAGUGAAAUGAAAAAUUAAUGGUGUUGUACACAGGAUGUGGUAUAGACGGUUUGAUGGGAAAGCAGCAAGUGGAUGUUGGAAUCCAAGCUUCUACACUGUACUAUGGAGGUCUCUUGUACCUCUGAUGAUGAGGGCAGGUGUGGCAUGGGAUGCUUUCACACAGAGGGUGGAGCCCCAUCAGCAAGUGUUAUGCCAAUUCAUGAAUUUUCCCUAGGAGUUAUUUUAUGUAAAGCAUUUACUAUUAUGAUAUGUGUACCUGUA